Molecule: ribosomal RNA, 245 nt
Filed under: uncultured bacterium
Lineage: Bacteria
Description: partial 16S ribosomal RNA
Rfam family: Bacterial small subunit ribosomal RNA
Source: RNAcentral
GAUCCUGGCUCGGGGUGAACGCUAGCUACAGGCUUAACACAUGCAAGUCGAGGGGCAGCAUGAACUUAGCUUGCUAAGUUUGAUGGCGACCGGCGCACGGGUGAGUAACACGUAUCCAACCUUCCGUUUACUCAGGGAUAGCCUUUCGAAAGAAAGAUUAAUACCUGACAGUAUGGUGAGAUUGCAUGAUAACACCAUUAAAGAUUAUUGGUAAACGAUGGGGAUGCGUUCCAUUAGGUAGUAGG